Myotis brandtii (Brandt's bat) is the source of this 75-nucleotide non-coding RNA. The record is from Rfam. NCBI's taxonomy places the organism in Eukaryota, Metazoa, Chordata, Mammalia, Chiroptera, Vespertilionidae.
GGCGGUUCUUGGGUGUUGCACCCCGGAAUUGGGCUCCCUCCUUUCUGGUUCUGUGUGCAUCACCCGACAACCACA